This 700-nucleotide ribosomal RNA is filed under the name Burkholderia cepacia. RNAcentral's name for it is "bacterial SSU rRNA". It matches the Rfam family "Bacterial small subunit ribosomal RNA", at positions 83 to 779 of the family's 1533-position model. The record is from RNAcentral. Lineage: Bacteria; Pseudomonadati; Pseudomonadota; Betaproteobacteria; Burkholderiales; Burkholderiaceae.
ACCUGGUGGCGAGUGGCGAACGGGUGAGUAAUACAUCGGAACAUGUCCUGUAGUGGGGGAUAGCCCGGCGAAAGCCGGAUUAAUACCGCAUACGAUCUACGGAUGAAAGCGGGGGACCUUCGGGCCUCGCGCUAUAGGGUUGGCCGAUGGCUGAUUAGCUAGUUGGUGGGGUAAAGGCCUACCAAGGCGACGAUCAGUAGCUGGUCUGAGAGGACGACCAGCCACACUGGGACUGAGACACGGCCCAGACUCCUACGGGAGGCAGCAGUGGGGAAUUUUGGACAAUGGGCGAAAGCCUGAUCCAGCAAUGCCGCGUGUGUGAAGAAGGCCUUCGGGUUGUAAAGCACUUUUGUCCGGAAAGAAAUCCUUGGCUCUAAUACAGUCGGGGGAUGACGGUACCGGAAGAAUAAGCACCGGCUAACUACGUGCCAGCAGCCGCGGUAAUACGUAGGGUGCAAGCGUUAAUCGGAAUUACUGGGCGUAAAGCGUGCGCAGGCGGUUUGCUAAGACCGAUGUGAAAUCCCCGGGCUCAACCUGGGAACUGCAUUGGUGACUGGCAGGCUAGAGUAUGGCAGAGGGGGGUAGAAUUCCACGUGUAGCAGUGAAAUGCGUAGAGAUGUGGAGGAAUACCGAUGGCGAAGGCAGCCCCCUGGGCCAAUACUGACGCUCAUGCACGAAAGCGUGGGGAGCAAACAGGAUU